GAUGAACGCUGGCGGCGUGCCUAAUACAUGCAAGUCGAGCGAACAGACGAGGAGCUUGCUCCUCUGACGUUAGCGGCGGACGGGUGAGUAACACGUGGAUAACCUACCUUUAAGACUGGGAUAACUUCGGGAAACCGGAGCUAAUACCGGAUAACAUGUUGAACCGCAUGGUUCAACAGUGAAAGACGGUCUUGCUGUCACUUAUAGAUGGAUCCGCGCCGCUUGAGCUAGUUGGUAAGGUAACGGCUUACCAAGGCAACGAUGCGUAGCCGCCCUGAGAGGGUGAUCGGCCACACUGGAACUGAGACACGGUCCAGACUCCUACGGGAGGCAGCAGUAGGGAAUCUUCCGCAAUGGGCGAAAUCCUGACGGAGCAACGCCGCGUGAGUGAAGAAGGUCUUCGGAUCGUAAAACUCUGUUAUUAGGGAAGAACAAAUGUGUAAGUAACUAUGCACGUCUUGACGGUACCUAAUCAGAAAGCCACGGCUAACUACGUG
RNAcentral lists this ribosomal RNA (497 nucleotides) under uncultured bacterium. RNAcentral's name for it is "partial 16S ribosomal RNA". It matches the Rfam family "Bacterial small subunit ribosomal RNA", at positions 28 to 507 of the family's 1533-position model. The record is from RNAcentral.